This 200-nucleotide unclassified non-coding RNA is filed under the name soil metagenome. RNAcentral describes it as "partial contains internal transcribed spacer 2 and large subunit ribosomal RNA". The record is from RNAcentral.
GGACUUGGAGCGUGCUGGCGAAAGUCGGCUCCUCUCUAAAUGCAUCAGCGGAUAAUAAUAUACCCUUUGCUGUCAUCAGUGUGAUAAUCAUGUCUCGCUGUUACCAGGCUCGGUGGUGUCCGCUUCUAAUGGUCUUCGGACAAUACAAUACACUUUUUAAAUUUGACCUCAAAUCAGGUAGGACUACCCGCUGAACUUAA